UCGCCAGACUCCUACGGGAGGCAGCAGUGGGGAAUAUUGCACAAUGGGGGGAACCCUGAUGCAGCGACGCCGCGUGGGUGAAGGAGCACCUCGGUGCGUAAAGCCCUAUCGGCAGGGAAGAAACAGACGGUACCUGACUAAGAAGCCCCGGCUAACUACGUGCCAGCAGCCGCGGUAAUACGUAGGGGGCAAGCGUUAUCCGGAUUUACUGGGUGUAAAGGGAGCGUAGACGGAUAAGCAAGUCUGAUGUGAAAAUCCGGGGCCCAACCCCGGAAUUGCAUUGGAAACUGCAUAUCUAGAGUGUCGGAGAGGCAAGUGGAAUUCCUGGUGUAGCGGCGAAAUGCUUAGAUAUCAGGAGGAACACCAGUGGCGAAGGCGGCUUGCUGGACGAUGACUGACGUUGAGGCUCGAAAGCGUGGGGAGCAAACAGGAUUAGAUACCCGAGUA
RNAcentral lists this ribosomal RNA (447 nucleotides) under uncultured bacterium. Its description in RNAcentral is "partial 16S ribosomal RNA". It matches the Rfam family "Bacterial small subunit ribosomal RNA", at positions 328 to 792 of the family's 1533-position model. The record is from RNAcentral.